CAGCAGCCGCGGGAACACGUAGGUGGCAAGCGUUGUCCGGAAUUAUUGGGCGUAAAGGGCUCGCAGGCGGUUUCUUAGGUCUGAUGUGAAAGCCCCCGGCUCAACCGGGGAGGGUCAUUGGAAACUGGGAAACUUGAGUGCAGGAGAGGAGAGUGGAAUUCCACGUGUAGCGGUGAAAUGCGUAGAGAUGUGGAGGAACACCAGUGGCGAAGGCGACUCUCUGGUCUGUAACUGACGCUGAGGAGCGAAAGCGUGGGGAGCGAACAGGAUUAGAUACCCCGGUAGUCCCUGUCUCUUAUAC
This 301-nucleotide ribosomal RNA is filed under the name uncultured bacterium. Its description in RNAcentral is "partial 16S ribosomal RNA". It matches the Rfam family "Bacterial small subunit ribosomal RNA", at positions 509 to 807 of the family's 1533-position model. The record is from RNAcentral.